RNAcentral lists this ribosomal RNA (315 nucleotides) under uncultured bacterium. RNAcentral's name for it is "bacterial SSU rRNA". It matches the Rfam family "Bacterial small subunit ribosomal RNA", at positions 28 to 334 of the family's 1533-position model. The record is from RNAcentral.
GAUGAACGCUAGCGGCAGGCCUAACACAUGCAAGUCGGGGGGCAGCACAAUAAGUAGCUUGCUACUUAUGGUGGCGACCGGCGCACGGGUGCGUAACGCGUAUGCAACCUACCCAUAACAGGGGGAUAACACUGAGAAAUUGGUACUAAUACCCCAUAACAUUUUGGAAGGCAUCUUCCGAAGUUGAAAACUCCGGUGGUUAUGGAUGGGCAUGCGUUGUAUUAGCUAGUUGGUGAGGUAACGGCUCACCAAGGCGACGAUACAUAGGGGGACUGAGAGGUUAACCCCCCACACUGGUACUGAGACACGGACCAG